AGUGUGUCCUUUCCCUGCUGCCUUAGCUCCGGGUAAAUAUUGAUUUGCCCCCAGUUUACCUCCUCUCUGACUGUCCAGUUGCAGACUAAAACACCGGCCUCUGUAGGGACCUGAUUUUUGUGUGACUUUCCGGGGCCUGUUUCCCCCUUCCUUCCUCCAAGCGGCAUAGUAAAACUCGAGGUGACAAAGAGGCAGGGUAGGGUUCAAGGCCCCAGUUCCUGACGACUUGAGGGCUAUUUUACAUACGGGUCAGACAGGGCUGGAGGCCAAGGUCAAGUUGAACAUUGCAGUCUAGCCAAUCUGAGAACUGCCAUGCAAGCCUGGAAACCCAGGCAGCUGUGAAAGGCCCACCGCCCAUCUCCCCUCA
Molecule: non-coding RNA, 367 nt
Organism: Myotis davidii
Lineage: Eukaryota; Metazoa; Chordata; Mammalia; Chiroptera; Vespertilionidae
Source: Rfam